CGAGGGUGGCUAUAGCGGUGGGGAUCACCUCUUCCCAUUCCGAACAGAGAAGUUAAGCCCACCAGCGCAGAUGGUACUGGCCCACAAGCCGGGAGAGUAUGUCGCUGCCCUCCU
Molecule: ribosomal RNA, 114 nt
Filed under: Schleiferia thermophila
Lineage: Bacteria; Pseudomonadati; Bacteroidota; Flavobacteriia; Flavobacteriales; Schleiferiaceae
Source: RNAcentral